This 91-nucleotide transfer RNA is filed under the name Agromyces atrinae. Its description in RNAcentral is "tRNA-Leu". It matches the Rfam family "transfer-messenger RNA", at positions 285 to 374 of the family's 374-position model. Rfam says of the family: Bacterial tmRNA, also known as 10Sa RNA or SsrA, is named for its dual tRNA and mRNA-like properties. Its role is to liberate the mRNA from a stalled ribosome. The record is from RNAcentral. Lineage: Bacteria; Bacillati; Actinomycetota; Actinomycetes; Micrococcales; Microbacteriaceae.
GGGGCCGAGUAGAACGCUUGCACAGGCUACGCCCGUAGAAGGCGCAGAAUCACAGCGAUGGACGGGGGUUCAAUUCCCCCCAUCUCCACCA